UCCGUAGGUGAACCUGCGGAAGGAUCAUUAUUAAAACAAAUCUGCAGUUCAGGUUCGCCCUGCUGUAGUGUUUAAACCAACUGUGAAUCUAAACCAUUACGCUUCGGUAGCGGGUGGGUUUUAUUACCCACUUGUCAGCCUACCGGUAGCACCAAAACCAAACCUGUUUUAAAAACACAUGUCUGAAAAUUAUCAUUUACGAAUGAAAAUUAAAACUUUCAACAACGGAUCUCUUGGUUCUCGCAUCGAUGAAGAACGCAGCGAAACGCGAUAGUUAAUGUGAAUUGCAGAAUUCAGUGAAUCAUCGAGUCUUUGAACGCACAUUGCGCCCAUCGGUAUUCCUUUGGGCAUGUCUGUUUGAGCGUCAUUUCAACACUCCAGCCGAAAAUUUAUGUUUUCGAUUGGGUUUUGAGCUCGGUUAUGAGGGGUGAUUCCCUAAACCGGCUUUAAAGUUGAACGCUCUGCGGGUGACUUUCAACCUGACCGAACAUAGUAAAAUUCUUUAUCGUUGUUCAACUUGGUUUUCAGUUAUACUCAGCCUGAAUAAAAACUUUUAAUCAAAGGUUUGACCUCAGAUCAGACAAGGAUACCCGCUGAACUUAAGCAUAUCAAUAAGGCGGGAGGGGAAGGUCGGACUGGCCAAGGGCACACAGGGGGGGAUA
This 662-nucleotide ribosomal RNA is filed under the name uncultured fungus. RNAcentral's name for it is "eukaryotic LSU rRNA". The stretch from base 214 to 367 matches the Rfam family "5.8S ribosomal RNA". The record is from RNAcentral. Lineage: Eukaryota; Fungi.